UAUUUUCCUUUUUUUCCCUCAGCCGCGGUAAUACGGAGGAUGCGAGCGUUAUCCGGAUUUAUUGGGUUUAAAGGGAGCGCAGACGGGAGAUUAAGUCAGUUGUGAAAGUUUGCGGCUCAACCGUAAAAUUGCAGUUGAUACUGGUUUCCUUGAGUGCAGUUGAGGCAGGCGGAAUUCGUGGUGUAGCGGUGAAAUGCUUAGAUAUCACGAAGAACCCCGAUUGCGAAGGCAGCUUGCUAAACUGUAACUGACGUUCAUGCUCGAAAGUGUGGGUAUCAAACAGG
RNAcentral lists this ribosomal RNA (284 nucleotides) under Phocaeicola coprocola DSM 17136. RNAcentral's name for it is "partial 16S ribosomal RNA". It matches the Rfam family "Bacterial small subunit ribosomal RNA", at positions 491 to 776 of the family's 1533-position model. The record is from RNAcentral. Lineage: Bacteria; Pseudomonadati; Bacteroidota; Bacteroidia; Bacteroidales; Bacteroidaceae.